GGGGAAUAUUGCGCAAUGGGGGAAACCCUGACGCAGCAACGCCGCGUGAGUGAUGAAGGCCUUCGGGUUGUAAAGCUCUGUCUUCUGGGACGAUAAUGACGGUACCCGAGGAGGAAGCUCCGGCUAACUACGUGCCAGCAGCCGCGGUAAU
Molecule: ribosomal RNA, 151 nt
Filed under: uncultured Clostridium sp.
Lineage: Bacteria; Bacillati; Bacillota; Clostridia; Eubacteriales; Clostridiaceae
Description: partial 16S ribosomal RNA
Rfam family: Bacterial small subunit ribosomal RNA
Source: RNAcentral